GACGAACGCUGGCGGCGUGCUUAACACAUGCAAGUCGAACGGAAAGGCCCUGCUUUUGUGGGGUGCUCGAGUGGCGAACGGGUGAGUAACACGUGAGUAACCUGCCCUUGACUUUGGGAUAACUUCAGGAAACUGGGGCUAAUACCUGAUAGGAGCUCCUGCUGCAUGGUGGGGGUUGGAAAUUUUCGGCGGUUGGGGAUGGACUCGCGGCUUAUCAGCUUGUUGGUGGGGUAGUGGCUUACCAAGGCUUUGACGGGUAGCCGGCCUGAGAGGGUGACCGGCCACAUUGGGACUGAGAUACGGCCCAGACUCCUACGGGAGGCAGCAGUGGGGAAUAUUGCACAAUGGGCGGAAGCCUGAUGCAGCAACGCCGCGUGCGGGAUGACGGCCUUCGGGUUGUAAACCGCUUUCGCCUGUGGCGAAGCGUGAGUGACGGUAAUGGGUAAAGAAGCACCGGCUAACUACGUG
Molecule: ribosomal RNA, 468 nt
Filed under: uncultured bacterium
Lineage: Bacteria
Description: partial 16S ribosomal RNA
Rfam family: Bacterial small subunit ribosomal RNA
Source: RNAcentral